ACGUAGGGUGCGAGCGUUGUCCGGAAUUACUGGGCGUAAAGAGCUCGUAGGUGGUUUGUCGCGUUGUUCGUGAAAUCUCACGGCUUAACUGUGAGCGUGCGGGCGAUACGGGCAGACUGGAGUACUGCAGGGGAGACUGGAAUUCCUGGUGUAGCGGUGGAAUGCGCAGAUAUCAGGAGGAACACCGGUGGCGAAGGCGGGUCUCUGGGCAGUAACUGACGCUGAGGAGCGAAAGCGUGGGGAGCGAACAGGAUUAGAUACCCUGGUAGUCCACGCCGUAAACGGUGGGUACUAGGUGUGGGUUUCCUUCCUUGGGAUCCGUGCCGUAGCUAACGCAUUAAGUACCCCGCCUGGGGAGUACGGCCGCAAGGCUA
This 374-nucleotide ribosomal RNA is filed under the name uncultured bacterium. RNAcentral describes it as "bacterial SSU rRNA". It matches the Rfam family "Bacterial small subunit ribosomal RNA", at positions 525 to 896 of the family's 1533-position model. The record is from RNAcentral.